AGUGAACGCUGGCGGUAGGCCUAACACAUGCAAGUCGAACGGCAGCACAAUAAGAGCUUGCUCUUACGGGUGGCGAGUGGCGGACGGGUGAGGCAUGCAUCGGCAUCUACUUUUUCGUGGGGGAUAACGUAGGGACACUUACGCUAAUACCGCAUACGACCUACGGGAUAAAGCAGUGGAUAUUCGGACCUUGCGCGAUUCAAUUAGCCGAUGUCGGAUUAGCUAGUUGGCGGGGUAAAGGCCCACCAAGGCGACGAUGCGUAGCUGGUCUGAGAGGAUGAUCAGCCACACUGGAACUGAGACACGGUCCAGACUCCUACGGGAGGCAGCAGUGGGGAAUAUUGGACAAUGGGCGCAAGCCUGAUCCAGCCAUACCGCGUGAGUGAAGAAGGCCUUCGGGUUGUAAAGCCCUGUUGUUAGGAAAGAAAAGCAGCAGGUUAAUACACCGCUGUUCUGACGGUACCCAAAGAAUAAGCACCGGCUAACUUCGUG
RNAcentral lists this ribosomal RNA (492 nucleotides) under uncultured bacterium. RNAcentral's name for it is "partial 16S ribosomal RNA". It matches the Rfam family "Bacterial small subunit ribosomal RNA", at positions 29 to 507 of the family's 1533-position model. The record is from RNAcentral.